AGAGUUUGAUCCUGGCUCAGGACGAACGCUGGCGGCGUGCUUAACACAUGCAAGUCGAACGGACCUUAUUUGGAGGAAGCUUUCGGGUAGACACUGAAUAAGGUUAGUGGCGGACGGGUGAGUAACGCGUAGAUAAUCUACCUUAAAGACUGGGACAACAGUUGGAAACGACUGCUAAUACCGGAUAAGCUAAACGGAAGGCAUCUUCUGUUUAGGAAAGGAGGCCUCUUAACAAUGCUCCCGCUUUUAGAUGAGUCUGCGUCUGAUUAGCUAGUUGGUGGGGUAACGGCUUACCAAGGCGACGAUCAGUAGUCGGCCUGAGAGGGUGACCGGCCACAUUGGGACUGAGACACGGCCCAAACUCCUACGGGAGGCAGCAGUGGGGAAUCUUCCGCAAUGGGCGAAAGCCUGACGGAGCAACGCCGCGUGAUCGAAUGAAGGCCUUCGGGUUGUAAAGAUCUGUUGACAGGGACGAAUAAGCCAUGCGAAUAGUUUGGUGUAUGACGGUACCUGUUUAGAAAGCUCCGGCUAACUACGUGCCAGCAGCCGCGGUAAUACGUAGGGAGCAAGCGUUGUCCGGAAUUACUGGGCGUAAAGGGCGCGUAGGUGGGUGCUUAAGUCAGGUGUGAAAACUCUGGGCUCAACCUGGAGACUGCACUUGAAACUGGGUAUCUUGAGGGCAGGAGAGGAAAGUGGAAUUUCUAGUGUAGCGGUGAAAUGCGUAGAUAUUAGGAGGAACACCAGUGGCGAAGGCGACUUUCUGGACUGUACCUGACGCUGAGGCGCGAAAGCGUGGGUAGCGAACGGGAUUAGAUACCCCGGUAGUCCACGCCGUAAACGAUGAAUACUAGGUGUAGGAGGUAUCGACUCCUUCUGUGCCGCAGCAAACGCAAUAAGUAUUCCGCCUGGGGACUACGGUCGCAAGACUAAAACUCAAAGGAAUUGACGGGGACCCGCACAAGCGGUGGAGCAUGUGGUUUAAUUCGACGCAACGCGAAGAACCUUACCAGGGCUUGACAUCCCUCGCUAUCUGUGGAAACACGGAGUUCCGUAGCUUGCUACGGACGAGGAGACAGGUGGUGCAUGGUUGUCGUCAGCUCGUGUCGUGAGAUGUUGGGUUAAGUCCCGCAACGAGCGCAACCCCUACGUCCAGUUGCCAGCACGUUAAGGUGGGAACUCUGGAGGAACUGCCGGUGACAAACCGGAGGAAGGUGGGGAUGACGUCAAAUCAUCAUGCCCUUUAUGUUCUGGGCUACACACGUGCUACAAUGGCCGGUACAGAGGGCGGCGAAGCCGCGAGGUGGAGCGAAUCCCAAAAAGCCGGUCUAAGUUCGGAUUGCAGGCUGCAACCCGCCUGCAUGAAGUCGGAAUCGCUAGUAAUCGCGAGUCAGCAUAUCGCGGUGAAUACGUUCCCGGGUCUUGUACACACCGCCCGUCACACCAUGGGAGUUGGCAACACCCGAAGUCGAUGAGCUAACCGCAAGGAGGCAGUCGCCUAAGGUGGGGUUGAUAACUGGGGUGAAGUCGUAAC
This 1531-nucleotide ribosomal RNA is filed under the name uncultured bacterium. Its description in RNAcentral is "16S ribosomal RNA". It matches the Rfam family "Bacterial small subunit ribosomal RNA". The record is from RNAcentral.